AUUGGCUUUGGCCACCUGUGGCUUUGUCCGUGGCCCAAGUGAGACUCGCCACCCAGAACCGCCAAUGACUUCAGCUCACCACCCACAUCGGUGCAUGAAGGUGAAAGCCAGGCCCCCACACGC
Small nucleolar RNA from Zalophus californianus (California sea lion), 123 nucleotides. NCBI's taxonomy places the organism in Eukaryota, Metazoa, Chordata, Mammalia, Carnivora, Otariidae. The record is from Ensembl.